UUGCCAAGUUGUUUCCUGGUUUAUAUGGUCAGCCAUCUGUAUCUGUUGUUCCUGACCAGAAUGCAGCAGCUUCGUCCAGACAGAAACUGAAGAUCAGUGUUGUUUUCUCUGGAGGGCAGGCACCUGGGCACAAUGUCAUCUCUGGACUGUUCGAUUACUUGCAGGAGCGUGCUAAAGGAAGUACGUUUUACGGGUUCAAGGGUGGUCCAGCUGGUAUCAUGAAAUGCAAAUACGUUGAGUUGAAUGCUGAAUACAUUCACCCUUACAUAAACCAGUGGAAGAGACAAGAUUGAAACCCCUGAGCAGUUUAAACAAGUUGAAGAAACAGCAAAGAAGCUAGAUUUGGACGGAUUGGUAGUUAUCGGAGAGGAUGACUCCAACACCAAUGCUUGCCUCCUUGCUGAAAACUUCAGCGGGGACGCGGAAGCGGAAGCGUAAAGAAGCGUAGAAGCAAAAAUUUUAAAAUAUUUAGGAAACGGGUAC
Molecule: long non-coding RNA, 483 nt
Organism: Brassica oleracea var. oleracea
Lineage: Eukaryota; Viridiplantae; Streptophyta; Magnoliopsida; Brassicales; Brassicaceae
Exons: 5
Source: RefSeq, a predicted model, not a curated record